GACAUUUGGUAGAGGUGAGGCCACCUGGGCCCAGCAGACCCCAGAGAAUGGCCACAUUCGCUGGUGCUGGAAAAAGGUCACUGGGGGUGAAGCCUGGUGCCAGAUGUGU
This 109-nucleotide ribosomal RNA is filed under the name Panthera pardus (leopard). Lineage: Eukaryota; Metazoa; Chordata; Mammalia; Carnivora; Felidae. The record is from RNAcentral.